RNAcentral lists this transfer RNA (64 nucleotides) under Donax vittatus. RNAcentral's name for it is "tRNA-Thr". It matches the Rfam family "tRNA". From Rfam's summary of the family: Transfer RNA (tRNA) molecules are approximately 80 nucleotides in length. Their secondary structure includes four short double-helical elements and three loops (D, anti-codon, and T loops). The record is from RNAcentral. Lineage: Eukaryota; Metazoa; Mollusca; Bivalvia; Cardiida; Donacidae.
GGUUGAGUAGCUUAAUUAAGAGCAGGGGUUUUGUAAACCUCAGGUGUAAAUUUUACUUCAACCU